GACGAACGCUGGCGGCGUGCUUAACACAUGCAAGUCGAACGGAAAGGCCCUGCUUGCAGGGUACUCAAGUGGCGAACGGGUGAGUAACACGUGGGUGAUCUGCCCUGCACUUCGGGAUAAGCUUGGGAAACUGGGUCUAAUACCGGAUAGGAGCCAUCUUUAGUGUGGUGGUUGGAAAGUUUUUUCGGUGUAGGAUGAGCUCGCGGCCUAUCAGCUUGUUGGUGGGGUAAUGGCCUACCAAGGCGGCGACGGGUAGCCGGCCUGAGAGGGUGUACGGCCACAUUGGGACUGAGAUACGGCCCAGACUCCUACGGGAGGCAGCAGUGGGGAAUAUUGCACAAUGGGCGCAAGCCUGAUGCAGCGACGCCGCGUGGGGGAUGAAGGCCUUCGGGUUGUAAACUCCUUUCGCUAGGGACGAAGCUUUGUUGUGACGGUACCUAGAUAAGAAGCACCGGCUAACUACGUG
RNAcentral lists this ribosomal RNA (466 nucleotides) under uncultured bacterium. RNAcentral describes it as "partial 16S ribosomal RNA". It matches the Rfam family "Bacterial small subunit ribosomal RNA", at positions 28 to 507 of the family's 1533-position model. The record is from RNAcentral.